Molecule: non-coding RNA, 84 nt
Organism: Suillus paluster
Lineage: Eukaryota; Fungi; Basidiomycota; Agaricomycetes; Boletales; Suillaceae
Source: the annotation of a RefSeq genome assembly
UCUCUGGUAGUAUAUCGGAUAGUACACCCGCCUGUCAUGGAAACUCGACCGCGGGAGAGCGGGGUUCGAUUCCCCGCCAGAGAG